CUCUUGCUUUAUAACUUGUUCCCCACGAUGUGAUGUCACAUAAACUUUUAGAUAAAAUGUGGCUAUCAAUAAACAGACAUACAAAUGGGUCUUCCUAUUUUUUUAGGUCUAAUAGACAUGACAAAGGACAAAAUCACAAAGACCUCAACCAUAGAAAACUGCCCUCAGGUAUGGAUUUAGAAUUUGAAGUGAGGGGUACUCUAUUAAACAAAAGACUAGGAGAUAUUUAAUAUAAUUUAGACAGGCCUGGGGAAAUCCCUAGAAUAAGAAAAAAAUCUUUUUUUGGCUUGAACAGGUCAACAAAUUUUAAUGGAGCACUUCUUACUUCAAAUGAAAUAGACAACACUGGUAUUUGACCCCUUACAUCAUUUAUAUUUAACCCUUUCUUUCAUAAUGACGCCUUUUGACGCCACCCCCUUUACUCCAUAAUGAUGCCUUUUGACGCCUGUGUAGUACCUCAGUUGAAAUGCUAUGUCUGCAUCAGACUUAAAAAAAAUGUAUCCAAUAUGAAAAGGAGAUUCAUGAGAAUAUCUGACUUGAAUUUCAUUGAUGAAAUAUUAGUUUUCACAAUGCAUUAACACUUUAAACCUGAUGAUUUUUUUUACUGAAAAAA
Molecule: long non-coding RNA, 613 nt
Filed under: Mytilus galloprovincialis (Mediterranean mussel)
Lineage: Eukaryota; Metazoa; Mollusca; Bivalvia; Mytilida; Mytilidae
Source: RNAcentral